This 502-nucleotide ribosomal RNA is filed under the name uncultured bacterium. RNAcentral's name for it is "partial 16S ribosomal RNA". It matches the Rfam family "Bacterial small subunit ribosomal RNA", at positions 28 to 507 of the family's 1533-position model. The record is from RNAcentral.
GACGAACGCUGGCGGCGUGCUUAACACAUGCAAGUCGAACGGUGAAGGGGUCUGCUUUUGUGGGCCCUGGUUGAGUGGCGAACGGGUGUGAAACACGUGAGUAACCUGCCCCCUUCUUCUGGAUAACCGCAUGAAAGUGUGUCUAAUACGGGAUUUUCUUGGUCUGUCGCAUUCUGGGUCUGGGGAAGAUUGCGCCGUUGGGUGUUGUUGGUUGGGGGUUGGGUCGCCGCCUAUCUGCUUGUUGGUGGGGUGAUGGCCUACCAAGGAGGCGGCGCGGAGCCGGGCUGGGGGGGUGCACGGCUAGACUGGGAAUGAGACACGGACCAGACUCGUACGCGGGGGAGCAGUGGCGAAUAUAGCGCAAUGGGGGCAGGCGGGAUGCAGCGACGCCGGGUGAGAGAUGGAGGCGUUCGGGUUGUAAUCCUCUUAGGCAAGUGAAGCAGGCCUGGUACUUGUGGGUGGGUUGACGGUAGCUGGAUAAGAAGCGCCGGCUAACUACGUG